This 122-nucleotide ribosomal RNA is filed under the name uncultured bacterium. Its description in RNAcentral is "partial 16S ribosomal RNA". The record is from RNAcentral.
GGCCUUCGGGUUGUAAAGCUCUUUCGCCGGGAAGAAGAGGACGGGACCGGAACAGCAGGACCCGGAUAGCUUCUUUGCCAGGAGCCCCCGGGAUUAUUAUAUGCCAGCAGCCGCGGUAAUAA